UACGUAGGGGGCAAGCGUUGUCCGGAUUUAUUGGGCGUAAAGGGCGCGUAGGCGGUCCUGAUCGUCGGAUGUGAAAGGCCUGGGCUCAACCUGGGAACUGCAUCCGAUACGGCGGGACUGGAGUGUGGGAGAGGUUGGUGGAAUUCCCAGUGUAGAGGUGAAAUUCGUAGAUAUUGGGAAGAACACCGGUGGCGAAGGCGGCCAACUGGACCACAACUGACGCUGAGGCGCGAAAGCGUGGGGAGCAAACAGG
This 253-nucleotide ribosomal RNA is filed under the name uncultured bacterium. RNAcentral describes it as "partial 16S ribosomal RNA". It matches the Rfam family "Bacterial small subunit ribosomal RNA", at positions 524 to 776 of the family's 1533-position model. The record is from RNAcentral.